GGGAUAUCUAAAAUCAAAAAUCGCAUAGCAUUUUGGGUAGAGGUUUCCACGAGGUCGCUUUUACUUACAGUGCACUUAGUUCAGUCUGGCGUGACUGUUCACAAUGGAGAAGCAAGCGCAAGAUACUCAAGAUGGUACGACUCCAGAAAAGGAUGAUAAUGCCCCAGAAAGAAGCGAAAGAUGGGCUAGAAAAGCAGAAUUCAUAUUUGCUUGUGUAGGCUUUGUAAUUGGAUAUGGCAAUAUUUGGAGGUUUCCAUACAUGUGUUUCAAGAAUGGAGGAGGUGCUUUCCUGUUUCCCUACAUUAUUUUCUUGAUUCUUGCUGGUGUACCAUUGUUUCUGUUAGAACAAAGUGUCGGUCAAUAUACACAAGGAGGUCCUAUUAAUGCUUGGCGCAAAAUGUGCCCUCUUUUCUCAGGGAUUGGAUAUGCAAUGAUUGCUGUCUCUUUUCUUGUUUCCAUCUACUACAACGUCAUUAUGACGUGGUCCUUGUACUAUUUUUACUANUCGUUCUACUCUCUACUGCCUUGGGUUGGAUGUAGUCACGACUGGAACACUGAAAGCUGCCUUGUUCACAAUUCCUCAAACCCCAACGCUACGGGNGUAUCGUCGAGCAGAGAAUUUUUCACGAAUCACGUUUUGAAAAUCACUCAGGGCAUNGANCAACCAGGCCCAAUGAAUACACCCGUCACACUNUGUUUGCUGGCGGCCUGGGUCAUAGUCUACUUCUGUAUUUUCAAAGGUGUAAGGACAACUGGAAAGGUCGUCUACGUUACAGCCACUGCGCCAUUCAUCGUACUUAUCAUAUUCUUUUUUCGUGGCGUAACUCUACCUGGAGCCAAGGAUGGGAUCGUCUUUUAUUUGAUACCUUCGUUCACCAGACUUGGUGAUCCAAAGGUAUGGAUUGAUGCCUCUACACAAAUUCUUUAUUCGCUGGCGCUAGGGCUUGGUGUUCAUUUGACAUUUGCCAGUUACAAUAGCAGGAAGAACAACAUUUUAAGGGAUGCAAUGAUCAUCUCUAUUACAAACUGCUGUACAAGUAUAUUCGCUGGUCUUGUGAUAUUCUCAGUUAUUGGGUUUAUGGCUCACGAGNUGAAUAAAAGUGUCGAAGAAGUCGCUUCACAAGGGCCUGGUUUGGCGUUUAUUGUUUACCCAGCAGCCAUUGCACAGAUGCCGCUGCCGCAACUCUGGGCUGUGUUGUUUUUCUUCAUGCUUAUUAUGCUCGGCUUGGAUAGUCAGUUUGGUCAGGUAGAAAUCGUAGCUUCUGUAAUUAUAGAGCAUUUCCCGGACAAGCUGAGUCGUUUUCGAGAACUGGUCGUCUUAGCUGUUUGUGUUGUCUUGUUCCUUCUGGGUCUUUCAUGUGUCACACACGUAGGGUGGCAUUUAUGUGUUCAACCUCUUCGACUCGAUGUCCGCCGGGCUCUCGUUACUUUUCAUUGUGAUGGCAGAGAUAAUAGCUGUGGCCUGGAUCUUUGGUGCGGAAAGGUUCGCUGGUGAAAUUUCUACGAUGACAUGCCGACCAGUUUGGCGUUGGUGGGUGUGGUGUUGGAAGUAUAUUUCUCCUGUANUAGUAAUGGGAAUUUUUCUCUUUAGCCUCGUUAAGUACAANANAGUAAAAUACGAAGAAUAUGUGUAUCCUGCCUGGGCGGAAGCCAUUGGGUGGAUGAUUGCACUGGCAUCNAUGCUGUGGAUCCCUGGUGUGGCG
Molecule: unclassified non-coding RNA, 1703 nt
Filed under: Exaiptasia diaphana
Lineage: Eukaryota; Metazoa; Cnidaria; Anthozoa; Actiniaria; Aiptasiidae
Description: sodium- and chloride-dependent GABA transporter 1, transcript variant X2
Source: RNAcentral